RNAcentral lists this ribosomal RNA (460 nucleotides) under uncultured bacterium. RNAcentral's name for it is "partial 16S ribosomal RNA". It matches the Rfam family "Bacterial small subunit ribosomal RNA", at positions 338 to 795 of the family's 1533-position model. The record is from RNAcentral.
CCUACGGGAGGCAGCAGUGAGGAAUAUUGGUCAAUGGCCGGAAGGCUGAACCAGCCAUGCCGCGUGAAGGUCAGUGCCCUAUGGGCGUUAAACUUCUUUUGUGCGGGAGCAAUAAUGGUCACGUGUGGCCAGACGAGAGUACCGUACGAAUAAGCAUCGGCUAACUCCGUGCCAGCAGCCGCGGUAAUACGGGGGAUGCAAGCGGUAUCCGGAUUUAUUGGGUUUAAAGGGGGCGUAGGCUGUGAGUUAAGGCAGCGGGGAAAUGCCCCCGCUCAACGGGGUGAAGUGCCAUUGAUACUGGCUUGCUGGAGUGCGUAUGCCGUAGGAGGAAUGUGUGGUGUAGCGGUGAAAUGCAUAGAUAUCACACAGAACACCGAUUGCGAAGGCAUCUCACGAAUCCGCGAUUGACGCUGAUGCACGAAAGCGUGGGUAUCAAACAGGAUUAGAUACCCCAGUAGUC